RNAcentral lists this long non-coding RNA (1008 nucleotides) under Nicotiana benthamiana. Its description in RNAcentral is "long non-coding RNA (NBEN_LNC030916)". The record is from RNAcentral. Lineage: Eukaryota; Viridiplantae; Streptophyta; Magnoliopsida; Solanales; Solanaceae.
CUGGAGUAGUUUCUGCAAGUAAACAUGAUGAUUUACACAAGCUCAACAUGUAUUCCCUAUAGUUCACUGGACAUAUCAGGAUAGAUAAAAAUGAAUAACAACAAAAAUAAAAAUAGGCGCCAAAGCAUUUUGUUGGACAUACCAGGACAGAUAAAAAUGAAUAACAACAAAAAUAAAAAUAGGCGCCAAAGCAUUUUGCAGUGCAAGUGUCAGCCCACAAACAAUGCAAAGAAGAUCAUGUAUAUCUCCAUAAUUUUUUUGAACAGGUAAGUAAUACAUGUAAAGCUCCAUAAAUUAACGAAAUGCUAACAUAGAUUGCUUAUAUCUCUAUAGAUACUUGAAAUGCUAACACAGAUUGUUUCAUCAAACUACACUAAUUGCUUUUCACUUUGUUGUAAAAUUUCAGAUCUCAAGCUCGGAUAAACAGAGGGAAAGAAACUACCCAGACGAUCCUGAAAAACAAAAAUACUUUUUUAUUCAACUAGCAUAAUGUGCCGCCUCCUACUAAAUGGAGCUUUGAGGCAGUGAGUCUUGAACAGCUGGUAUUUGCCUUAAAGAGUCAAGUCAAAAAUCAUUAAUCACUCUUUGUUGAAGUAAAUGUAAAGUGACGUGAACAUGAAUAUCAGUAAACUGCAACAGGUGUUAAUUUUCAUGUAUUGGAUUUCAACAAGUACUUCAUCAAGUUACUUUCUCCUUGCUAUUGACUACAUAUCUAAAAGUACUCCUUCUCAUUUUCUAGUUAUGUUGGACAGCAGAAGCAUGAUACAAGAACUUUCUGAAUUAUCAAACAUGAGCGCUCCACGAUGAACUCAUGUACAAAACAGAAUCACCAGACUCGCAUGUUCUCUUUGUUUGACCCCUCUGCUUAUGGUACUUGAUGACUUCUGGCGAGAAAAUUAUUGGUGCCACACAUCUAUCAAAUACCAAUAAUGCUGUAUUUAUUCUCACUGGAAAAAAAAAACUACAAAAGAAAGAAAUGAAUUCACGUGUUUCUCCUCCUACAAAAAC